Molecule: small RNA, 817 nt
Filed under: uncultured Chaetomium
Lineage: Eukaryota; Fungi; Ascomycota; Sordariomycetes; Sordariales; Chaetomiaceae
Description: eukaryotic LSU rRNA
Rfam family: Eukaryotic large subunit ribosomal RNA (bases 543-817)
Source: RNAcentral
CUUGGUCAUUUAGAGGAAGUAAAAGUCGUAACAAGGUCUCCGUUGGUGAACCAGCGGAGGGAUCAUUACAGAGUUUAACCACUCAAAACCAUUGUGAACCUUACCUCAACCGUUGCUUCGGCGGGCGGGCCCCAAAAGCCCCCCCGGCCCCUCGCGGGCGCCCGCCGGAGGUAAAUCGAACCCUUGAAUUGUAUGGCCUCUCUGAGUCUUCUGUACUGAAUAAGUCAAAACUUUCAACAACGGAUCUCUUGGUUCUGGCAUCGAUGAAGAACGCAGCGAAAUGCGAUAAGUAAUGUGAAUUGCAGAAUUCAGUGAAUCAUCGAAUCUUUGAACGCACAUUGCGCCCGCCAGUAUUCUGGCGGGCAUGCCUGUCCGAGCGUCAUUUCAACCAUCAAGCCCCGGGCUUGUGUUGGGGCCCUGCGGCUGCCGCAGGCCCUGAAAACCAGUGGCGGGCUCGCUAGUCACUCCGAGCGUAGUAGUUUACACCUCGCUCAGGGCGUGCUGCGGGUUCCGGCCGUUAAAAGCCUUAUUUUACCCAAGGUUGACCUCGGAUCAGGUAGGAAGACCCGCUGAACUUAAGCAUAUCAAUAAGCGGAGGAAAAGAAACCAACAGGGAUUGCCCUAGUAACGGCGAGUGAAGCGGCAACAGCUCAAAUUUGAAAUCUGGCCUCGGCCCGAGUUGUAAUUUGCAGAGGAAGCUUUGGGUGCGGUACCGACUGAGUCCCCUGGAACGGGGCGCCACAGAGGGUGAGAGCCCCGUAUAGUCGGACGCCAAACCUGUGUAAAGCUCCUUCGACGAGUCGAGUUGUUUGGGAAU